GGGUAUUUGGUACUUAACCCAAAAUAAUACAUAGAUCAUAAUUUCGAAACAAAUUAUCACAUAAUACAUCAUUAACAUAGAUCAGCCGGAAUUAAGAACAAAAACAACAAAGGUGUAAAAAUAAAACAAAUCAACAAUCAUGACGAGGAGACUGUUGAACAGCAAGAAAAACAACGGGAACACCUCUCUUCCUUUUUCUGAAAAUCGAACAGGAGCCUAAGUGGACUCCCUUCGCCGGCUCGUUUCUGCGCCGACCGGGCACUAGGCCGUGAGUCGUCAACACGUAGUCGUUCCUCUUCAUCUUCAGGCUACCACUAUCACGAAUCGAAAAAUCGAAAUACUCUCUCCAUCUCCCCAGCCAACAGCCGCAACAUCUUCGGCAACCAACGUCGAAUUCCCGAUGUAGCAACCGGCUGAUUUACGGCCUCUAUUUCUCUCUCUCCCUACUGUAACGGAGAGCCGAGAAACCACCAUCUUGUAGUCCAUUCUUCCAUGCACACAGACGGCUAAGCCGAGAGCCUCCAUGGCCGAACACCAUCGCGAAACGACGAUCAGAAAACCACUCAGCGAGCAACAUAACAAUAUGCAACGAACUUAUUGAUUUAGUUUAUUGAACUUCACUGUAGAAUAUAUAGAUAAUUUCUCAUUAAUGGCCAAAAUAUAGAAAGUAGCAUAAGAAACCAUAGUAGCAAUCUUUCAAACGAAACUAAUUAUAUAACUAAAACCAAAGAACUAAACUUAUAAAUUGACCAAAAAAAACCCAGAAAAAAAUAUUUGAUUUUUAUAGAUGAAAAAUCUCACACCCACCUGUUAUUUCAUCAAGAAAAUUACCUUCUCCAGGAUCCCCCACCCCCAGCUUUGUUUCCUCGAACCUGUUCGGAAAUUAAAAAAGAGAAACUCAGCAAUCACACAUGAAAAGAAACCCAACAAAUCUGAAAAACAUUACCUUCUUCAAGCCGUCGCUGCAAUAUUUCUCUUUCAAACUAGCUCAGAUUGCCGUAUAACCAGAGAGGAGGAUGAAAAUGAAAUGGAACCUUCAACUCUUCUGCUAUCCAUGGCGAAUUUCGUCGAACCAGAGAGGAGGAUGAAAAUGAAAACGACUGGUAAAAUGAUAUACUGAUUAGAGAAAUGCCACAAAUUUGUUGAAAUUGAAAUCAUAUCGUCAUCUACAAGGGAAUAGAGAAAAUAGGGGGAUUUGAUUACAUUUCCUUAAUAUGAUGAAAUAAGAUUGACAAGAUUGAAGAUUGACGUAUAUAAUCCUGACAAAUUUCAAAUUAAUUUACAGGCAUAUUAUUAUUAUUUAAUUUAAUGAAAUGAUCUUGUGAUUGAAAUCUAAACAGUUGGAUUCUGUGAAAUUAAUGGAAUUACUUCUUACUUCUUAAUCUUAGAGACCUUUUAUGUAAAAUUGAACCGUAUAUAUAUACGCGCAGGGAUGUAUAUAUAUAUAUAUACGCGCAGGGAUGUG
This 1465-nucleotide long non-coding RNA is filed under the name Salvia miltiorrhiza (redroot sage). RNAcentral's name for it is "long non-coding RNA (SMIL_LNC002351)". The record is from RNAcentral. Lineage: Eukaryota; Viridiplantae; Streptophyta; Magnoliopsida; Lamiales; Lamiaceae.